This 460-nucleotide ribosomal RNA is filed under the name uncultured bacterium. RNAcentral's name for it is "partial 16S ribosomal RNA". It matches the Rfam family "Bacterial small subunit ribosomal RNA", at positions 338 to 795 of the family's 1533-position model. The record is from RNAcentral.
CCUACGGGUGGCAGCAGUGAGGAAUAUUGGUCAAUGGCCGGAAGGCUGAACCAGCCAAGUCGCGUGAAGGAUGACGGCCCUACGGGUUGUAAACUUCUUUUGUCAGGGAGCAAUUGGGUCCACGCGUGGGCUUAGCGAGAGUACCUGAAGAAAAAGCCUCGGCUAACUCCGUGCCAGCAGCCGCGGUAAUACGGAGGAUGCGAGCGUUAUCCGGAUUUAUGGGGUUUAAAGGGUGCGUAGGCGGAAUAUCAAGUCAGCGGUAAAAAUUCGGGGCUCAACCCCGUCGUGCCGUUGAAACUGAUGUUCUGGAGUGGGCGAGAGGUAUGCGGAAUGCGUGGUGUAGCGGUGAAAUGCAUAGAUAUCACGCAGAACUCCGAUUGCGAAGGCAGCAUACCGGCGCACAACUGACGCUGAAGCACGAAAGCGUGGGUAUCGAACAGGAUUAGAUACCCGAGUAGUC